This 4493-nucleotide long non-coding RNA is filed under the name Aquilegia coerulea. Its description in RNAcentral is "long non-coding RNA (ACOE_LNC001555)". The record is from RNAcentral. Lineage: Eukaryota; Viridiplantae; Streptophyta; Magnoliopsida; Ranunculales; Ranunculaceae.
ACUCUUCUUCCACUUCGAUCAAAACUCCUACCGCCUCUUUUUAGUCUUCGUCAUUUCCUUCUCAUCUAGUCAUUCUGGAACGCCGCUACUCUGAUUGAAAUUCCAUGUUCAGGUAAGUGGUCUCUUUCUAUUUCGAAAUUCCCUUUUGCUUGAUCAUUUGCUUUCUCUUCCUUUUGAGUCUUUGCUUUUUCAUGUUAAGGGCAAAAUUGGUAUGAGAAUUUGUUUUUAUUUGGAAGAAAUUGUUGUGUAAACAAAGUACCAAAUUGAGGGUUUUUGUACAUCGGUUUGCUUGUUUGGUUCUUACUGAUGAUCAAAGUUAUCAAAAGGACAUUUAUCUCACUACCAUAUUAAAUCUUUGCAAUAUAUAUUCUAGUCAUGCAUCAUCUAGUAAAUUUCGAUAGCAAAUAUUCAAAGUAGACUUUGUUCUACUCUCUCUGGAGUCUCUGCAUCAAUGUUCUAGGAAUUGUUGCAUUCUAUUAGAGUCUGGAAUCAUCUAACUUCAUUUAAAUUGCACUCCUAGAAUUGAGCCAUUACUGAGUUUAUGUUUUUAUUAAGUUUGUUUGUUUUUUAUUUUAUUUUUUCCAGACUUUCAAAAAUUUGAGUUCCUUUAAUAUACUUUGGCGAUGUUUGAAUGUGAUUAUAGGUUGUCUUUCUUAUGAAGAUAGGUAUUGGUUCUGUAAUUAUUGUUUCAAUGUCAAAUAUUGGUAUCGCACAAGUGUUUGUUGGGGAACUUAGAUGUGCCUGCAAUCGCUAUCUUAACCAUCCAUAUUGAAAUUUAACAGUAUAUAUUAAUUUCUUAUCACUAGUGUUUUUUUUUUUUUUUUUGGUAGGAAAGUGGUGUUGUUAACUCGGACCCCCACCCCGUUACAUUAAUAGAAAAAGCUUGUUACAUUCUCACAUAGAUUGUACUAUUAGCAUCACUAAACACAAUUUUCCUAAUGUCCUCAGAGAAUGAGCUAGGUACAAUAGCAAUAAACCUAAUAUAGGAAAUAGUUCACCUUCGAACUGCAUAUAGUUCAGCUUCCAGGGAUGUUUCUGUUUGACUUGUACAAUUGCCACCCCAUUUACUGAAUCCGUCCGAGAAUACAGUUUCUCGAUUCCUUGUUGUACUGCCAGCUUGAUGCCUUGCUUCAGCCCUUCCAACUCAUGUCUACAAUCAUGUUGUAAUCUGACUUCCCCUUAGCUGCAUAUGAACUUGUCCAGUGUGAUCUCGAAUUACUGCUCCCUAUCCUCCAGUUUGACCUUGUAGUGUGGCGUCUGUAUUUAAAACGCAUAUACCUAGUUGUUUCUUCCAAGUACAGGUCUUGGUUGCAUUGUGUGCCACUUGAAUACCUAUGUUCCAUAUCUCGUUUAGCCUUUUUCUCUCAGGACCUUCUACCAUAGUAUGCUGUAAGGAGCAUAGUUUAAUCUCACAUCAGUUAGACAAACUACAUAGUAAAGGUGUAUGCUGAUGCUUCCCCCCUGAAUAUCCUAUCAUUUUUUUCCUUCCAUACCCAGUAAAUGAAGCCAUUAAACAUAAGUCUCAAGCCAUCUUGUAUUCUUGUGUUAUGCCUUUUCUCCCUUUGUUAAAUUACAUAUCCAGUGAAGUUCUUGUUGCCAAAAACCUGACUGUUGUCUUCUAUAUUCUGCUGCACUUAAUAAUAAUCCCCAUGUACUUCUAGCAAAAUUACAUUCAAAGAAUAAGUGCUCCCCAGUUUCCACUUCCUGCCAGCAGAGAACACAUAAAUUAGAUUGUACUAUUCCCUGUUUUUUAAGCUAAGUCUUCAAACAUCCCCUGACGGCCAUCCAGGUAAUAAAGGUGUGUCUAGGUUUUCUAAGCACUAGCGUUAUCUAUUGUAUUAUAAUUUAUUCACAUAAGCAUCAAAACUUUAGCAAAACUGGCUCAAUGUGGCUUUGUAAUAGAAUAGGUAUUACUCCUACAACUUUAUGACUGUAUCUUGAUUGCCAUAUUUAAGCAAUUGAACCCCUUAAGAUUCCUGCCAUAAGUCUUGUUUAACUAGACUCAUUGUUAGUAAGGACCAGGCUUGUACCUCUAAGGAAAAUAAAGGAGCACCCUUGUGCAAGCCCAUACAGAGUCAGCCAGACAUAGUUUAAAAAGAAUUGGAAUGACCCACAAUACCCAUCUAUCAUACUUAGUUUAGCCAGGUUUAGUUCAAUAAGAUCCCCGCCUAUAAAUCAUGCUUGAUAAGGAAGAAGGCAAACUGUUGACAACACUGUUCGAGUACUUUUUAAAAUUGCUAGCAUUUUCAGUUCCAAGACGGUACUAUCUUUUUAAGUAUUAGAAAAGGUCGCCUUAUUAUCCUCACCAUGAUAAUCCUUGAUAAUACCCCUAUGCUACACCUUGUAGCAUUAUUUGCAGCAUCAGCUUGUACCAUGAUCUAUCAUGGUUCAAGUAGGAUCCAUGAUGCAUAGAUUCUUGGAUCUUUGACCUUGCAUGAAGUUAUUUCCCACAGUUUGUCAGACCUGAAUAUUAAUUGUCAUUGCUCAUCUAGAUAGAUUUUCUGUCGAACUUAUCUGGACUGGAAUUGGGCUGACCAUAAAAUAGUUUGUUUCUUGAUUAUUUUUAUUCUGGUAUAUGUCAACUAAAAUUGGGUUUGGACUAGUAUAGUAUUGAAAUUGCUAGAGUUAGUAUUGCUUAGUCCAUUGUAUGAAAGUCAGUAUGAUUGUUGCUAACUCAUGAAUUAAUAAAUGUCAUCUUGUGACACAGGGGAGAAGAGAACUUGACAGUGUCUGAUUAAUCCUUCAGUCACAUCUGCAGAUUUUGGUAGGUUUAGUAUGUGUAUUUUUCUGAUAUGGUGUGUAAAUCUCAUGUUCAUUACUUUGACAGCUCGACUUGCUCUGUUCUCACAAAAGUACAACCUCUGCUUAGGAAAAGGAAGUUACAUAGUGAAGCUUCACUUUGCUGAAACUGUCCUCACAAUUUAUCGAUGAUACCAAGUAAUUUCCCAUGGAUUCCUUUAGAUAUCAACUUCUUAAAUUUGUUUAUACUUUGCAUGCUUCAAAAAUAAUUUUCUUUACUCACACAAGUCUCAUGUUAUGUCUUAUGUUUCAGUAGUUUCUAUGAAGCCAGUAGCAAUGAUUUAUACUAAUUGUGUAUGGUUGUAUGUUAUUAUAGCACUGUGGAUUAAUUCAGUGGUGAAAGCACACCAGAUAUACAGUCUUAGUUCAUAACAUUUUGUUCUGAAUAUGCAAUAGUCACACCUCCACAGGUUAGAAACGGUGUUCAUCUCAAGAAAUGAAAGCAAGCUGAUAAACUUAUUUUUAGAAAUUAUUAGUUCGUUGAAGUGUGCGAUAAUAUAUAUUAGUACUCACAUCAGAUGUUUAUAUUAACAGAUCAUAAAGGGCCUUAAGGAAGUCUCGGUUGGCAUGAAGGUUGGAGGUGAUCUUUGAGUUACCAAUUACAUGAUUUUGUAUAUGUGUUUUUUUUUUUUUUUUUUUUCAAACAUGCAAUCUGAGGAUACCUUGCCGGGCAGAGCUAUAUAGAACUACCUGAUAUUUGUUUUGCAGGGAAGAAGAGAUCUUUGAUACCUCUUUUGGUUGGGAAUUUCAAGUAUCACGACAUGAAUGAAGGAUCCAUAACUGAUGGGAUCAUAUGAGCAGGGCCGGAUUUGGGGCUAGGCGAGCUAGGCGGUUGCCUAGGGCCUCCAAAUCUCAGGGGGCCUCCUGCUCACCAAGGCCAUACAUAUGUUAUAUUGCUUUGGAUUUUUUUCCUUAGUUUAACUAUAAUAAAGCCUAUUACCCAAGCCCAAUACAAUUAAUAAACCAAAUGGGAGGAGAUUCUCUCUUUCAAUUGAAGCCCAGAUCACUUCAUUAAUUAGGCUUCUUGACAUACUGUAAUAGCUUUCUUUCUCACUUCCAUGGCUCUAUCUCCCUUAGAACAAAAACUUAAAUUCACUUUCUCUGUUUCCCCUUCUCUCAAUUAAUCAAACAAAAACCUCAAUCUAAUAUAACUUCAAAUUCAUAGAUAUGUGUAUAUUAUUAUUUAAAAUUUUUUUGUCAUUUUUAAAUAAAUUUAAGGGUCUUAGGUAUCUUGACGUUCUUAAGAAAAAAAAAACUAGGGCCCCCAAAAUCUCAGGUACGGCACUGCAUAUGAGGUAUACUUAUUUUAUCCCUUAUUAUUGCUUAUGUUUUCUUCAAUAUCAGUAAUCUCAUGAGUACUUAAAUGUUUGAAAAUUGUUUUGAAUUGAAAAUCUGGAACGUAAACUUGUAAUUUUAUCCCUUAUUAUAUUUAUUGUUGCAGGUCAUGGUAGUUGGUUGUAGGCGAUAAGUUCGUGCAUCCAUUUCACACUCCAUGGAAUAACGUACCCUCGGUGAAACUGAUCAUGUGUUUUUAUUUUCACUCUUCGAUAUGCUUAUUUGUAUUGACCAGACUUGUAUAUUCAUGCACAUAAUGAGUUUCUAAUAAAUUCUAGUGUUUGGGAAUGUAGACGAGUUUAAUUUUCUUGUAGUGCUAAAUAUUUUUUUAAUAAUAUUAAUUUAUAAAAUUUUGGGUU